AUUGUUUACAAAAAGCUAGAAGAACGCGCCUCAAGCCGGAGAGAUUAAAGGAUUAUCGUAAAAUUGUCUUAUUUAAGCUGGCGUCACUCUUAAGCUGGUGUUCCAUCGUUUCAGAUUCACAAUGUCCCGCAAGGAAGCGCUGUCGCAAUUCAUCAACCAAAUUCACGGCCGACCCGUGGUCGUAAAGCUCAAUAGUGGGGUCGAUUACAGAGGAGUGCUUGCCUGUUUGGACGGCUACAUGAACAUUGCCCUGGACCAGACGGAAGAGUACGUAAAUGGGCAGCUGAAAAACAAGUACGGCGAUGCGUUCAUCCGCGGCAACAAUGUACUCUACAUUUCCACGCAGAAGAGAAGAGUGUAAAAGAUGAAAAGCGAACAAUGGUGAAGAAUAAAAAGCAAAACAUUUUCUUAAAAAUUUACGAACUAAAAAUGAAUUGUAGUAGUGGUUGAUCACCACCACUACCACACCUAACUGAAAGUAAGGUGGAGAACCUCACCAUAAGAUUCGAAACAGUCGCGGACUAGUGCGAAGCUGUAUUCAGAAGCAUGUUGUUCUGGGCGCUUCAUGGUAAAGCUUUCGGGUAGUUCUCCAUUCCUUUCAGGUUCACGCAUUCAACGUAACGCUGAACCGUACGACUCAAUGAAUGCCGUCCAAAGGCGAGAAGCUUUUGUAUUGAUAGAGUUCCGGUCCACCGUACCCGUACAGCAGCUUGCCCUUUCCAUUUUCAUCGUAGUAGGGGUAUCUGUAUUUUGGCCUGUAAAGAGGAGAAUAGAAUUCAGUGUAUGGUAUAUUUUAAGA
This is an RNA transcript of Anopheles arabiensis, 799 nucleotides long. The record is from RefSeq and is a predicted model, not a curated record. Lineage: Eukaryota; Metazoa; Arthropoda; Insecta; Diptera; Culicidae.